RNAcentral lists this unclassified non-coding RNA (349 nucleotides) under soil metagenome. RNAcentral's name for it is "partial contains 5.8S ribosomal RNA, internal transcribed spacer 2, and large subunit ribosomal RNA". The stretch from base 1 to 121 matches the Rfam family "5.8S ribosomal RNA", at positions 35 to 154 of the family's 154-position model. The record is from RNAcentral.
GAUGAAGAAACGUAGCAAAAUGCGAUAAGUAGUGUGAAUUGCAGAAUUCAGUGAAUCAUCGAAUCUUUGAACGCACAUUGCGCCCGCUGGUAUUCCGGCGGGCAUGCCUGUUCGAGCGUCAUUUCAACCCUCAAGCCCCCGGGUUUGGUGUUGGGGAUCGGCUCUGCCCUUCUGGGCGGUGCCGCCCCCGAAAUACAUUGGCGGUCUCGCUGCAGCCUCCAUUGCGUAGUAGCUAACACCUCGCAACUGGAACGCGGCGCGGCCAUGCCGUAAAACCCCAACUUCUGAAUGUUGACCUCGGAUCAGGUAGGAAUACCCGCUGAACUUAAGCAUAUCAAUAAGCGGAGGA